CUCAACCAAUUAGAACGCUGAAUCUAUUCUACCCGUUUUAUAAUAUAAUAAUUAAAGUAAAGUUAAUUGGAGAUUGGUUAAAAUAGCAAUGAUUUUAUCAGUUUGAGUUGACUAGUUUGCCAGGCAUUAGUUAUGAGUUAGCUGGUUAGCGUUACUUUGCUCGCUGCCAAACUAGUCAGCCAACUGAUGAAAUAGCCACGUCCGCUCUAACCGUAAUGCUACUUUUAGCAUUACGUAGAAGUUAGCAUGUGGUAACCACGGGACUGUUUCACUCUUCUAUUAACAAAUCCGAUGUCAAUUCCAUUUAAAGUAGUUUGUUGCUUUUGAGAAACAUAAUUAACUAACGUUAGUUUAUCACGUCAACUCAAUAAAUUGACAUUACAUAUUACCAAGCUGGGACAUGUAAAAUGCAAAUCUAUGUAAAACGUCAACUUUAUUGGCUGUGGUAGACUGCUGGAGACCAGUUCAAGCUAAUGCUUGACUUUAUAAGAACAAGUUAAUUUAGUUGAUGCGUUUUUCCGCCAUAUGUUUAUUUACCAGCUGUAUGUAUGUAGUCUAUUUCUUUUAAGGUCAUAAAAACGUUGUCCACAACAACAUUACCUUAAUAUAUGACUGAGAUUGAAUUACACUUCAUUCCUCAUUAUGUCGGUAAUAUGGAACAGCAGUUAUCUACUUCUCUAUGUAUGUAAUAUAUCAUUUUCUAAGGUGUUUUGUUUAAAGGCUGAAAGAUAGAACCUUCUUAAUGUCAGUGUGUCAUAUUGUUUCCUCUCUUAGACAACAGAGCAUCCUCCUUAUCUGCAUUGUGUGUGAACGGAAGACUAUUGCGGCUGGUGACUCUUUGGUGACUCUAAAGUGUGUCCUGUUGUCCAGCAUCUCUCCUCUAUCCCAUUGGCUCUCUGUCUAUCCUAUACCUUGUAUCCACUCUGUCUACAAUAUGAUUACUCUAGCUUUCCUGUCAAAUCUACCUCUCUGUCUUUGAUUUUGGAAACUCUAUCUUUGUAUCCCUCUUCUAUCCCACUCUAUCUGUAUACUGAACUGAUAUUUUGAAACCUGAAUUUUGAAACCUGAAUUUUGAAACCUGAACUCUGAAACCCAAUUUUUGGUUGCCUAAGGUCAUUGAUACCUGUCUGUCUGAACAGAACUCUGAGAGUCUCCACUCUCACGCUCUCUGUCUCUCCUCUGAAUACUCUCACCCGGGUUAUUGGUACCUGAUCUACCUUUUUGAAUGAUCUGAGAGAUUCUCUUCUCUCACUCUCACCUCUUUCCAUCUCCUAUCAACUCAUAUAUUUAUACAACGCUAUUACUCUUUUUACUAAUUUGACAAAGCAUUUGAAAUUUACUAUUAAUGAGAUUAACAAAAUUGGCCUAAAGAAAGAAUUGAAAAGUUAAUUCAGAAGCUAAAAAAACACAAGCACAAAUAUUUUUGUUGUAAUUGAACUACACUUUGAUACAAAGAAUUGGAUAAUUGGAUUGUGAAAAGAAAUUACACUUUAUAAUCUAGUCUGGUAGAUUUCCUGAUAUACUAUUUACAAAAGUGCAAGGAAUAAACAUAAUUUAAGACAACUGCACUCUGGUCAAUAUACAUAGGAACUAUUACAAAUCCAUAUUACAGAGAAGCGUUAUUUGCUCCUGAUCUCUGUUGCUGUGGACUUCUGUUGGUUUGUACUUAAGAGGUUUUCUUGGUGAACCGAUAUAUUUUCACACUUAACACUGUUGUUAACUUGAUUGGUCUACGUACAAGGAAACCUCAUACUGCUACAUGCAUUAUACCUAAUUAAACAUAUUUUUCUUAUAAACUUA
Long non-coding RNA from Pungitius pungitius (ninespine stickleback), 1800 nucleotides. RefSeq lists it as uncharacterized. The transcript has 3 exons. NCBI's taxonomy places the organism in Eukaryota, Metazoa, Chordata, Actinopteri, Perciformes, Gasterosteidae. The record is from RefSeq and is a predicted model, not a curated record.